This 509-nucleotide ribosomal RNA is filed under the name uncultured bacterium. RNAcentral describes it as "bacterial SSU rRNA". It matches the Rfam family "Bacterial small subunit ribosomal RNA", at positions 28 to 528 of the family's 1533-position model. The record is from RNAcentral.
GACGAACGCUGGCGGCGUGGAUUAGGCAUGCAAGUCGAACGGUAUCAUCCUUUCGGGGGUGAGAGAGUGGCGAACUGGUGAGUAACACGUAGGUUAUCUACCCUCAAGACGGGGACAACCCAGGGAAACUUGGGCUAAUACCGGAUGUGAGCAACUUUUAGUUGUUUGAAAGGUGGCGUAAGCUGUCGCUUGGGGAUGAGCCUGCGUCCUAUUAGUUAGUUGGUGAGGUAACGGCUCACCUAGGCAAUGAUAGGUAGGCGGCCUUAACGGGUGGUCGCCCACACUGGGAUUGAGAUACGGCCCAGACUCCUACGGGAGGCAGCAGUCGAGAAUAGUCUACAAUGGUCGGAAGACUGAUAGUGCGACGCCGCGUGAACGAUGAAUCCCUUCGGGGUGUAAAGUUCUUUUAUAUGUGAGCAGUGCUUCUUAUAUUAACAGUAUGGGGAGAGAGAUAUUAGCAUAUGAAUAAGCAACGGCUAACUCCGUGCCAGCAGCCGGGUAAACCUCGU